AGGAAACUAUUAGUGCCAGAAAACCAGCCACCGCCGCCUCUAGCACCAUCCGGUGCCCGUGCUGCAAGUACAGUCAUAACCCCUGUGGAGGGGGAUCCGACCCCAUGGAGAACGCAGGGGCUGACGAGCUGCGUUUAAGUAUGCUUUGCUGGUGCUUUUAGCUAUUUCAAAAGACACAAGAAGUGGCCCGACAUCACUUGGCCAUAGGCUGCUCUUCCUCAUCUCAAUGAGCAUAGCUCUUGGAACGCUGGCUCCGCCAAAAACUAGCCAUAAAGUUCAAAGUAAAGUUUUUAAACCAUG
Long non-coding RNA from Rhipicephalus sanguineus (brown dog tick), 300 nucleotides. RefSeq lists it as uncharacterized. The transcript has 2 exons. NCBI's taxonomy places the organism in Eukaryota, Metazoa, Arthropoda, Arachnida, Ixodida, Ixodidae. The record is from RefSeq and is a predicted model, not a curated record.